UAGGAGGCAUGAAGAAAGAAAAGAAGAAGAAAAAGGAAGGAAAUAUCCUCUGAAAACCUUAAUAUGCUACCAAAGCUCUUACAGGGCAAGGACUGUGCAAGUUUUCAUGUUUACAUCCUUCCUAGAAGAAUGACUUCCACAUAAGCGUCUAGAGCAAUGAUGCUCACAUUGUACUUGCUAAAUAAGCACAUUUUGCCUCAUUAUGGGAUGACUGACUUUGAUAAACUUGGCUCUUCACAGCAAUGCAAGAAUCUAAGACAACUUCA
This is a non-coding RNA of Phascolarctos cinereus (koala), 266 nucleotides long. The record is from RefSeq and is a predicted model, not a curated record. Lineage: Eukaryota; Metazoa; Chordata; Mammalia; Diprotodontia; Phascolarctidae.